AGGAGCAGCGGGCUGGGCUGGGGCAGGGGUGGGGGACCCCUAGCUUGGGCCUGAUUCUCCAGGACUCUGUGCACUACAGCUCCCCCUGAGUCCCCAUUUCACAGAGGGGACAACUGAGGCUCAGAGCAACCAAGGGCUCACAUUCAGCAGUGUUUUCAUCUGGGAUCUGGGAAUAUGCCUGACAACUGACUUGGAAAUCCCUGUGGACACUGGGCAGGAAGUUCCUGGAAUGCUGCGGGGCCUCAGAUUAGGAGAGCUGGGGCGGAGGAGGUGGCUGGUGACAGAGCUCAGGGUUUGUGCACUGGAGGCCUGGGGUUUAAUCCCCAGUGCCACAUAUGCUCAGCUCACUCUCUCUCCGUUCCUCUCAUGAAAUAAAUACAAAAAAACACCCCAAAAACUUUACUAUGUGCACUUAAGCCUGUGUACCACCGUCUGACCCCCCAAAGAAACUUUAUAAUAUUAUUGUUUAUUUUCUGAGAAGUUAAGAUUUCUUUUUUAAUAAAGAUUUUUAAAAAUAUUUAUUUA
This is a long non-coding RNA of Erinaceus europaeus (western European hedgehog), 525 nucleotides long. RefSeq lists it as uncharacterized. The record is from RefSeq and is a predicted model, not a curated record. The transcript is spliced from 2 exons. Lineage: Eukaryota; Metazoa; Chordata; Mammalia; Eulipotyphla; Erinaceidae.